Nymphaea colorata (pocket water lily) is the source of this 83-nucleotide small nucleolar RNA. RefSeq annotates it as small nucleolar RNA SNORD24. The record is from RefSeq and is a predicted model, not a curated record. NCBI's taxonomy places the organism in Eukaryota, Viridiplantae, Streptophyta, Magnoliopsida, Nymphaeales, Nymphaeaceae. The transcript has a single exon.
GACCCAUGAUGUGAUUAUAGUAUUUGCUACUCUUGAUGGGAAGCACCAGUUGAUGAAUACUAUCCACCAAGAUCUCUGAGGUC